GUUAGAUGUGUUGAUUGUUCAGAUGUUUCAACAUUUUCUGAAUAGUAUAAGGCCUGACCACCCUGAUCAAGUAUUCAUGGACAUCGAGGAAAUAAUGAGCAUUAUAAUAAAAGAGAGUGAAGAAAUUCCAAUGCAGCUUCUGAACAUCCUCAUUAGUAGUGUUAAGAAGGAUAACCAGAAUGUUUCACCUCGUUCCUAUAUGUUGGGAGAGA
Molecule: unclassified non-coding RNA, 212 nt
Filed under: Hevea brasiliensis (rubber tree)
Lineage: Eukaryota; Viridiplantae; Streptophyta; Magnoliopsida; Malpighiales; Euphorbiaceae
Source: RNAcentral